Molecule: long non-coding RNA, 247 nt
Filed under: Gossypium barbadense (sea-island cotton)
Lineage: Eukaryota; Viridiplantae; Streptophyta; Magnoliopsida; Malvales; Malvaceae
Description: long non-coding RNA (GBAR_LNC012407)
Source: RNAcentral
AAGUUGAUCGUAUGAAAGCGUCUUUCAUUUGAGAGGGAUUGAAGUUGAAAGUUAUCUUUCGAUCUUUCGGGAACCUGAAAAGUAGCAACACAAGAAAAAUUCAUAUCUUGGUUAGUAGAAACAUUCCUCACUACCCUUUCCACGUCUUUUUCUUUUGUUUCUUUUUCUAAUUCAUUUUCUCUUCUUUCUUCAAUUUCUUUUUCACUCUCAAUCUCUUUUUGCUCUUUUUCAUUCUCUUUUUCUUUUU